RNAcentral lists this ribosomal RNA (2906 nucleotides) under Escherichia coli. Its description in RNAcentral is "23S ribosomal RNA". It matches the Rfam family "Bacterial large subunit ribosomal RNA". The record is from RNAcentral. Lineage: Bacteria; Pseudomonadati; Pseudomonadota; Gammaproteobacteria; Enterobacterales; Enterobacteriaceae.
GGUUAAGCGACUAAGCGUACACGGUGGAUGCCCUGGCAGUCAGAGGCGAUGAAGGACGUGCUAAUCUGCGAUAAGCGUCGGUAAGGUGAUAUGAACCGUUAUAACCGGCGAUUUCCGAAUGGGGAAACCCAGUGUGAUUCGUCACACUAUCAUUAACUGAAUCCAUAGGUUAAUGAGGCGAACCGGGGGAACUGAAACAUCUAAGUACCCCGAGGAAAAGAAAUCAACCGAGAUUCCCCCAGUAGCGGCGAGCGAACGGGGAGCAGCCCAGAGCCUGAAUCAGUGUGUGUGUUAGUGGAAGCGUCUGGAAAGGCGCGCGAUACAGGGUGACAGCCCCGUACACAAAAAUGCACAUACUGUGAGCUCGAUGAGUAGGGCGGGACACGUGGUAUCCUGUCUGAAUAUGGGGGGACCAUCCUCCAAGGCUAAAUACUCCUGACUGACCGAUAGUGAACCAGUACCGUGAGGGAAAGGCGAAAAGAACCCCGGCGAGGGGAGUGAAAAAGAACCUGAAACCGUGUACGUACAAGCAGUGGGAGCACAGAGCAAUCUGUGUGACUGCGUACCUUUUGUAUAAUGGGUCAGCGACUUAUAUUCUGUAGCAAGGUUAACCGAAUAGGGGAGCCGAAGGGAAACCGAGUCUUAACUGGGCGUUAAGUUGCAGGGUAUAGACCCGAAACCCGGUGAUCUAGCCAUGGGCAGGUUGAAGGUUGGGUAACACUAACUGGAGGACCGAACCGACUAAUGUUGAAAAAUUAGCGGAUGACUUGUGGCUGGGGGUGAAAGGCCAAUCAAACCGGGAGAUAGCUGGUUCUCCCCGAAAGCUAUUUAGGUAGCGCCUCGUGAAUUCAUCUCCGGGGGUAGAGCACUGUUUCGGCAAGGGGGUCAUCCCGACUUACCAACCCGAUGCAAACUGCGAAUACCGGAGAAUGUUAUCACGGGAGACACACGGCGGGUGCUAACGUCCGUCGUGAAGAGGGAAACAACCCAGACCGCCAGCUAAGGUCCCAAAGUCAUGGUUAAGUGGGAAACGAUGUGGGAAGGCCCAGACAGCCAGGAUGUUGGCUUAGAAGCAGCCAUCAUUUAAAGAAAGCGUAAUAGCUCACUGGUCGAGUCGGCCUGCGCGGAAGAUGUAACGGGGCUAAACCAUGCACCGAAGCUGCGGCAGCGACGCUUAUGCGUUGUUGGGUAGGGGAGCGUUCUGUAAGCCUGUGAAGGUGUACUGUGAGGUAUGCUGGAGGUAUCAGAAGUGCGAAUGCUGACAUAAGUAACGAUAAAGCGGGUGAAAAGCCCGCUCGCCGGAAGACCAAGGGUUCCUGUCCAACGUUAAUCGGGGCAGGGUGAGUCGACCCCUAAGGCGAGGCCGAAAGGCGUAGUCGAUGGGAAACAGGUUAAUAUUCCUGUACUUGGUGUUACUGCGAAGGGGGGACGGAGAAGGCUAUGUUGGCCGGGCGACGGUUGUCCCGGUUUAAGCGUGUAGGCUGGUUUUCCAGGCAAAUCCGGAAAAUCAAGGCUGAGGCGUGAUGACGAGGCACUACGGUGCUGAAGCAACAAAUGCCCUGCUUCCAGGAAAAGCCUCUAAGCAUCAGGUAACAUCAAAUCGUACCCCAAACCGACACAGGUGGUCAGGUAGAGAAUACCAAGGCGCUUGAGAGAACUCGGGUGAAGGAACUAGGCAAAAUGGUGCCGUAACUUCGGGAGAAGGCACGCUGAUAUGUAGGUGAAGUCCCUCGCGGAUGGAGCUGAAAUCAGUCGAAGAUACCAGCUGGCUGCAACUGUUUAUUAAAAACACAGCACUGUGCAAACACGAAAGUGGACGUAUACGGUGUGACGCCUGCCCGGUGCCGGAAGGUUAAUUGAUGGGGUCAGCGCAAGCGAAGCUCUUGAUCGAAGCCCCGGUAAACGGCGGCCGUAACUAUAACGGUCCUAAGGUAGCGAAAUUCCUUGUCGGGUAAGUUCCGACCUGCACGAAUGGCGUAAUGAUGGCCAGGCUGUCUCCACCCGAGACUCAGUGAAAUUGAACUCGCUGUGAAGAUGCAGUGUACCCGCGGCAAGACGGAAAGACCCCGUGAACCUUUACUAUAGCUUGACACUGAACAUUGAGCCUUGAUGUGUAGGAUAGGUGGGAGGCUUGGAAGUGUGGACGCCAGUCUGCAUGGAGCCGACCUUGAAAUACCACCCUUUAAUGUUUGAUGUUCUAACGUUGACCCGUAAUCCGGGUUGCGGACAGUGUCUGGUGGGUAGUUUGACUGGGGCGGUCUCCUCCUAAAGAGUAACGGAGGAGCACGAAGGUUGGCUAAUCCUGGUCGGACAUCAGGAGGUUAGUGCAAUGGCAUAAGCCAGCUUGACUGCGAGCGUGACGGCGCGAGCAGGUGCGAAAGCAGGUCAUAGUGAUCCGGUGGUUCUGAAUGGAAGGGCCAUCGCUCAACGGAUAAAAGGUACUCCGGGGAUAACAGGCUGAUACCGCCCAAGAGUUCAUAUCGACGGCGGUGUUUGGCACCUCGAUGUCGGCUCAUCACAUCCUGGGGCUGAAGUAGGUCCCAAGGGUAUGGCUGUUCGCCAUUUAAAGUGGUACGCGAGCUGGGUUUAGAACGUCGUGAGACAGUUCGGUCCCUAUCUGCCGUGGGCGCUGGAGAACUGAGGGGGGCUGCUCCUAGUACGAGAGGACCGGAGUGGACGCAUCACUGGUGUUCGGGUUGUCAUGCCAAUGGCACUGCCCGGUAGCUAAAUGCGGAAGAGAUAAGUGCUGAAAGCAUCUAAGCACGAAACUUGCCCCGAGAUGAGUUCUCCCUGACUCCUUGAGAGUCCUGAAGGAACGUUGAAGACGACGACGUUGAUAGGCCGGGUGUGUAAGCGCAGCGAUGCGUUGAGCUAACCGGUACUAAUGAACCGUGAGGCUUAACCUU